AGUCAUCCACACGAGCCUACGAAUCUCGAUCAGAAGUCCUGCUUCAGAAAAUCAGCACAGUAUGCUAGUACUGUGCUGAUCCUUCUUUGAUGGUUGAUCAGGUGCCUCCUUUUUCCUGAUUUGGGCUCUUCCAAAGAUGAGAAGUAGGAGAAAGAGUUUUAAAUCUGAGACACUCUCAGAAAACUCAAGAUGGAGGAAGGAAAGAGAUGAAAACAAACAACCCUAGAAGAAGAUCCUCUUCUUCUUCUCAUUUCUCUCUCUAAACACCCUAUCUUGUGUCUAUUAUAUCUCCACGACCCAA
RNAcentral lists this long non-coding RNA (301 nucleotides) under Elaeis guineensis (African oil palm). RNAcentral describes it as "long non-coding RNA (EGUI_LNC068791)". The record is from RNAcentral. Lineage: Eukaryota; Viridiplantae; Streptophyta; Magnoliopsida; Arecales; Arecaceae.